AUUGAACGCUGGCGGCAUGCUUUACACAUGCAAGUCGAACGGUAACAGGGAGCUUGCUCCGCUGACGAGUGGCGAACGGGUGAGUAAUGCAUCGGAACGUACCGUGUAAUGGGGGGAUAACGUAGCGAAAGUUACGCUAAUACCGCAUACGCCCUGAGGGGGAAAGCGGGGGAUCGUAAGACCUCGCGUUAUACGAGCGGCCGAUGUCGGAUUAGCUAGUUGGUGGGGUAAAGGCCUACCAAGGCGACGAUCCGUAGCGGGUCUGAGAGGAUGAUCCGCCACACUGGGACUGAGACACGGCCCAGACUCCUACGGGAGGCAGCAGUGGGGAAUUUUGGACAAUGGGGGCAACCCUGAUCCAGCCAUGCCGCGUGAGUGAAGAAGGCCUUCGGGUUGGUUAAAGGACUCUUUCUAGACGGAAAGAAAUACGCACAGGUUAAUACCUUAGUGUGGAUGACGGUACCGUAAGAAGAAGACACCGGCUAACUACGUAGCCAGCAGCCGCGGUAA
Molecule: ribosomal RNA, 510 nt
Filed under: uncultured bacterium
Lineage: Bacteria
Description: bacterial SSU rRNA
Rfam family: Bacterial small subunit ribosomal RNA
Source: RNAcentral